AUUGAACGCUGGCGGAAUGCUUAACACAUGCAAGUCGAGCGGGCUGUAGCAAUACAGCUAGCGGCGGACGGGUGAGGAAUACAUAGGAAUCUGCCUCAGAGUGGGGGAUAGCCCGGGGAAACCCGGAUUAAUACCGCAUGAUGUCGUAAGACCAAAGCAGGGGACCGUAAGGCCUUGCGCUUUGAGAUGAGCCUAUGUCGGAUUAGCUAGUUGGCGGGGUAAAAGCCCACCAAGGCGACGAUCCGUAGCUGGUCUGAGAGGACGAUCAGCCACACCGGAACUGAGACACGGUCCGGACUCCUACGGGAGGCAGCAGUGGGGAAUAUUGGACAAUGGGCGCAAGCCUGAUCCAGCAAUUCCGCGUGUGUGAAGAAGGCCU
Molecule: ribosomal RNA, 379 nt
Filed under: uncultured bacterium
Lineage: Bacteria
Description: bacterial SSU rRNA
Rfam family: Bacterial small subunit ribosomal RNA
Source: RNAcentral